RNAcentral lists this ribosomal RNA (331 nucleotides) under Enterococcus sp. RNAcentral's name for it is "bacterial SSU rRNA". It matches the Rfam family "Bacterial small subunit ribosomal RNA", at positions 1118 to 1448 of the family's 1533-position model. Lineage: Bacteria; Bacillati; Bacillota; Bacilli; Lactobacillales; Enterococcaceae. The record is from RNAcentral.
CCAUCAUUUAGGUGGGCAAUGUAGGGGGGAGUGCCGGUGACAAACCCGAGGAAGGUGGGGGAGGACGUCAAAUCAUCAUGCCCCUUAUGACCUGGGCUACACACGGGGUACAAUGGGGAAGUACAACGAGUCGCUAGACCGGGGAGGUCAUGCAAAUCUCUUAAAGCUUCUCUCAGUUCGGAUUGCAGGCUGCAACUCGCCUGCAUGAAGCCGGAAUCGCUAGUAAUCGCGGAUCAGCACGCCGCGGUGAAUACGUUCCCGGGCCUUGUACACACCGCCCGUCAUCCACGAGAGUUUGUAACACCCGAAGUCGGUGAGGUAACCUUUGGAG